CCAAUAGCGUAUAUUAAAGUUGUUGCAGUUAAAAAGCUCGUAGUUGAAUUUCGGGAUCAAUUUAUUGGUCGUGCUAUUGUACGUACUGGUAUUAUUGAUUCCUACCUUCUGACGAACCAUGAUGUCAUUAAUUUGGUGUCAUGGGGAAUCAGGACUGUUACUUUGAAAAAAUUAGAGUGUUUAAAGCAGGCUCACGCUUG
Molecule: ribosomal RNA, 200 nt
Filed under: uncultured Glomus
Lineage: Eukaryota; Fungi; Glomeromycota; Glomeromycetes; Glomerales; Glomeraceae
Description: partial small subunit ribosomal RNA
Rfam family: Eukaryotic small subunit ribosomal RNA
Source: RNAcentral